UACGUAGGGGGCAAGCGUUGUCCGGAUUUAUUGGGCGUAAAGAGCGUGUAGGCGGCUUGGUAGGUCCGCUGUGAAAACUCGAGGCUCAACCUCGAGAUGUCGGCGGAAACCACUUGGCUAGAGUCCGGAAGAGGAGAGUGGAAUUCCUGGUGUAGCGGUGAAAUGCGCAGAUAUCAGGAAGAACACCUAUGGCGAAGGCAGCUCUCUGGGACGGUACUGACGCUGAGACGCGAAA
RNAcentral lists this ribosomal RNA (235 nucleotides) under uncultured bacterium. RNAcentral describes it as "partial 16S ribosomal RNA". It matches the Rfam family "Bacterial small subunit ribosomal RNA", at positions 524 to 758 of the family's 1533-position model. The record is from RNAcentral.